CUGACGUUAGCGGCGGACGGGUGAGUAACACGUGGAUAACCUACCUAUAAGACUGGGAUAACUUCGGGAAACCGGAGCUAAUACCGGAUAACAUUUGGAACCGCAUGGUUCUAAAGUGAAAGAUGGUUUUGCUAUCACUUAUAGAUGGACCCGCGCCGUAUUAGCUAGUUGGUAAGGUAACGGCUUACCAAGGCGACGAUACGUAGCCGACCUGAGAGGGUGAUCGGCCACACUGGAACUGAGACACGGUCCAG
This 254-nucleotide ribosomal RNA is filed under the name uncultured Staphylococcus sp. Its description in RNAcentral is "partial 16S ribosomal RNA". It matches the Rfam family "Bacterial small subunit ribosomal RNA", at positions 86 to 334 of the family's 1533-position model. Lineage: Bacteria; Bacillati; Bacillota; Bacilli; Caryophanales; Staphylococcaceae. The record is from RNAcentral.